CCUGGUUGCCACCGGCAGUAGGACGAAACUUGUGUAGCGGGUGGGACAUUAGGACCCAGCAGCAUCAGGGGGUAACCACCAGAACAUAAGGAAGUAGUCACGUUAUGUGCAGACCUACAGGAAAACGUACGUUUCUGAGAUUUGUCGCACCCGCAAGCUGUUAAUCAACCUAUAGUACAGACCACAGUAAGGCUUCUGUCUGGCGGUCAUGACACCUUUAUGACAGUGAAGCACUCAGAGACCAGUGAUGCUGAAGGAUGACCACCUCCCUUACUGCCGACACCACUUCCUACCACUCAGACCUUCUCUUGUGUUUGGACAAAGGGUCACUCGUCUCUGGAUUGGAGUAGGCCGUCUCAAUAGGCUUUUUGGUGUACCCUCACAGCGUCGACCUUCUCACCUCCGGCGAUCCAUCAAACUUUCCUUACCGGCCCCGGAUCUUCUGCCUGCUUCCAACUCUGCCAGCUGAAAUAAAAACGUUUUGCUCUUUGACCCAGCCUGAAGCGUAGGUUGGUAAUGUUUUCUAUCAUGUGGAAUAUGUCAAAAUGUCAAAAGUGUACCUUUCCUGUUGCAUUUCAUGAGAUGUAUUUCUGUGUUGGAAUUAUAGGCAGUA
Molecule: long non-coding RNA, 613 nt
Organism: Esox lucius (northern pike)
Lineage: Eukaryota; Metazoa; Chordata; Actinopteri; Esociformes; Esocidae
Exons: 5
Source: RefSeq, a predicted model, not a curated record